Molecule: signal recognition particle RNA, 238 nt
Filed under: Chlorocebus sabaeus (green monkey)
Lineage: Eukaryota; Metazoa; Chordata; Mammalia; Primates; Cercopithecidae
Description: Metazoan signal recognition particle RNA
Rfam family: Metazoan signal recognition particle RNA
About the family: The signal recognition particle (SRP) is a universally conserved ribonucleoprotein. It is involved in the co-translational targeting of proteins to membranes.
Source: Rfam by way of RNAcentral
GCUAGGUGUGGUGGUGGGCGCCCAUAAUCCCAGAUACUAGGAGGCGGAGGCAGGAGAAUCGCUUGAACCCAGGAGGUGGAGGUUGCAGUGUGCCGAAAUUGAGCCACUGCCCUCCAGCCUGGGCGACAGAGCAAGANNNNNNNNNNUCUUGCUCUGUCGCCCAGGCUGGAGUGCAGUGGCUCAAUUUCGGCACACUGCAACCUCCACCUCCUGGGUUCAAGCGAUUCUCCUGCCUCCG